This 829-nucleotide ribosomal RNA is filed under the name uncultured fungus. RNAcentral describes it as "SSU rRNA". It matches the Rfam family "Eukaryotic small subunit ribosomal RNA", at positions 564 to 1424 of the family's 1831-position model. The record is from RNAcentral. Lineage: Eukaryota; Fungi.
GUGCCAGCAGCCUGCGGUAAUUCCAGCUCCAAUAGCGUAUAUUAAAGUUGUUGUGGUUAAAAAGCUCGUAGUUGAACCUUGGGCCUGGCUGGCCGGUCCGCCUCACCGCGUGCACUGGUCCGGCCGGGCCUUUCCCUCUGUGGAACCCCAUACCCUUCACUGGGCGUGGCGGGGAAACAGGACAUUUACUUUGAAAAAAUUAGAGUGCUCCAGGCAGGCCUAUGCUCGAAUACAUUAGCAUGGAAUAAUAAAAUAGGACGCGCGGUUCUAUUUUGUUGGUUUAUAGGACCGCCGUAAUGAUUAAUAGGGACAGUCGGGGGCAUCAGUAUUCAACUGUCAGAGGUGAAGUUCUUGGAUCAGUUGAAGACUAACUACUGCGAAAGCAUUUGCCAAGGAUGUUUUCAUUAAUCAGGAACGAAAGUUAGGGGAUCGAAGACGAUCAGAUACCGUCGUAGUCUUAACCAUAAACUAUGCCGACUAGGGAUCGGACGGUGUUAUUCAUGACCCGUUCGGCACCUUACGAGAAAUCAAAGUGCUUGGGCUCCAGGGGGAGUAUGGUCGCAAGGCUGAAACUUAAAGAAAUUGACGGAAGGGCACCACCAGGGGUGGAGCCUGCGGCUUAAUUUGACUCAACACGGGGAAACUCACCAGGUCCAGACACAAUAAGGAUUGACAGAUUGAGAGCUCUUUCUUGAUUUUGUGGGUGGUGAUGCAUGGCCGUUCUUAGUUGGUGGGGUGACUUGUCUGCUUAAUUGCGAUACGAACGAGACCUUAACUGCUAAAUAGCCCGCAUUGCUCCGGCAGUGCGCUGGCUUCUUAGAGGACUUUC